GGGCAACAGCAACAGUUUGGGCAAACGUGGCCGCUAGAAGACGAUCUAGCUACAGCCGUCUGUGCUAAUUGUGGUCGGCUCAUUGUCCUAUGAUAAAUAAGGGUAGAUCCACGUAUCGUAAGGGUGCGAGAGCGGUGCGGCAAGCAGAGUAAUGGCCAAUUCGCUUGUUUUCCGGGCGAGCUGUGGUGAAGGGCAAAUCACGGCUAGGCCCCUGGAUGCCCAGAAACAACGACUGCAACGAAGGCAGCAAAAAACGCAAAAAGCCACCAAUCGUCACAUUCUCCUGCAGGCGGGAGGGUUUUCUCCAGUGCUUCACAAAGUAGCGAAUAAAAAACCGAACGAACCCCUAA
This is a long non-coding RNA of Anopheles arabiensis, 350 nucleotides long. RefSeq lists it as uncharacterized. The transcript is spliced from 2 exons. NCBI's taxonomy places the organism in Eukaryota, Metazoa, Arthropoda, Insecta, Diptera, Culicidae. The record is from RefSeq and is a predicted model, not a curated record.